UGGUUUGUUCCUAGAUUGACUUCUUUUUUUUGUUAUUUCCUCUACAGUUCCCUAUGGUUCAGGUGAUCAAUUGCUCAGUAAACAGUAAUUGUUCAUUUUCUCCCCGGCGGAGGUUGCGGCCUUCUACCCAGUAACCGGUAGUUGUAAGUCCUAUUUCUGUGGUUUUCUACCCAAUAACCGGUAGAUGUAAUCCCCUCUUUG
Molecule: long non-coding RNA, 201 nt
Filed under: Lathyrus oleraceus (garden pea)
Lineage: Eukaryota; Viridiplantae; Streptophyta; Magnoliopsida; Fabales; Fabaceae
Description: Pisum sativum (pea) long non-coding RNA (PSAT_LNC025008)
Source: RNAcentral